GACGAACGCUGGCGGCGUGCUUAACACAUGCAAGUCGAACGGAAAGGCCCUGCUUUUGUGGGGUGCUCGAGUGGCGAACGGGUGAGUAACACGUGAGUAACCUGCCCUUGACUUUGGGAUAACUUCAGGAAACUGGGGCUAAUACCGGAUAGGAGCUCCUGCUGCAUGGUGGGGGUUGGAAAGUUUCGGCGGUUGGGGAUGGACUCGCGGCUUAUCAGCUUGUUGGUGGGGUAGUGGCUUACCAAGGCUUUGACGGGUAGCCGGCCUGAGAGGGUGACCGGCGACAUUGGGACUGAGAGACGGCCCAGAGGCCUACGGGAGGCAGCAGUGGGGAAUAUUGCACAAUGGGCGGAAGCCUGAUGAAGAAACGCCGCGUGCGGGAUGACGGCCUUCGGGUUGUAAACCGCUUUAGCCUGUGACGAAGCGUGAGUGACGGUAAUGGGUAAAGAAGCACCGGCUAACUACGUG
Molecule: ribosomal RNA, 468 nt
Filed under: uncultured bacterium
Lineage: Bacteria
Description: partial 16S ribosomal RNA
Rfam family: Bacterial small subunit ribosomal RNA
Source: RNAcentral